RNAcentral lists this ribosomal RNA (467 nucleotides) under uncultured Pseudomonadota bacterium. RNAcentral's name for it is "bacterial SSU rRNA". It matches the Rfam family "Bacterial small subunit ribosomal RNA", at positions 29 to 505 of the family's 1533-position model. The record is from RNAcentral. Lineage: Bacteria; Pseudomonadati; Pseudomonadota.
AACGAACGCUAGCGGCGUGCCUCAAACAUGCAAGUCGAACGAGAAAGUUCCUUCGGGAAUGAUUACAGUGGCGCACGGGUGCGUAACACGUAGCUAAUGUGCCCUCUCGCUGGGGACAACUCCGGGAAACCGGAGCUAAUACCGAAUGAUCUGACUUUGUCUGCGGACUAGGUUGGUAAAGCCUUCGGGCGCGAGAGGAUCGGGCUGCGGCCCAUUAGCUUGAUGGUGGGGUAAAGGCCUACCAUGGCAACGAUGGGUAGCUGGUCUGAGAGGAUGAUCAGCCACACUGGAACUGAAACACGGUCCAGACUCCCACGGGAGGCAGCAGUUGGGAAUAUUGCACAAUGGGGGAAACCCUGAUGCAGCAACGCCGCAUGAGUGAAGAAGGGUUUCGGCUCGUAAAGCUCUUUCAGCAGGGAAGAAAGGCAACUUGACGGUACCUGCAGAAGAAGCACCGGCUAACUCCG